This 1081-nucleotide long non-coding RNA is filed under the name Anser brachyrhynchus (Pink-footed goose). RNAcentral's name for it is "lncRNA (ENSABRG00000011333.1)". The record is from RNAcentral. Lineage: Eukaryota; Metazoa; Chordata; Aves; Anseriformes; Anatidae.
CGAGUUACUAUUAUUUUUUUCUCCCUUCUGAAGCACUGUGUUUUGUUUUGUUUUAUUUUGUUUUGUUUUAUUUUGUUUUCCACAUGAAGAUAGGAUGAUAAACUGUGGGUGCUACAGGGAGCUGUUAGAAUUGCUGCUCAGCUUGGCCCAGAGUAGAGAAAGCCUUUCUUCAGCCUUCUCUUUGGUGAAAUAAAUAUGCUCUGUUCUUUAAGCUCUACAACACAAAGCUGCAUUUUCCAAUUUUGGAAUUAUUAUUUUCUUCUUCAGUGUAUGCUCACCAGGCGGAUCAUCUGUGUAUCUUACUCAGCCAGUUUCCUGCCGUUGGAUAUCAAUUGUCCACUAGAUAAGACGGCCAGAUGUUCUUGCACAGAAAAUCAAAGAGCAGGCUGUAAAAUGAUAGGAAAUAAUAACAAUAAAAACAAAACAAACAAACAAACCAAAAAAGAAAAACACACAAAAACAAACAAACAACUCUACAACUGAUAUUUCCCCUUUCCUUUGAAAAAAUAUUUCCUCCACAAAUCCUUUUUUUUUUUUUUUUUCCUCUCUGUUUUCCUUGGGGACCCACACUUAUCCAAGCUGCAGUGACCAUAGCUGAAUCCCAUCUGAAUACUGAAAAUCUAAACCUCCAUAUUUAGUUUCAAAUAUUUGUGUUAUUAGCAAGCCACCUUGAAAAGACAACUAUUUGCUGGUAAAGAAUAAGAACACAGAACUGGAGAUCAUUCUUACACUGCCAAGCAUAACAGAGGGAUACUGAGGACAAAGAGAGCUUUGCAAUUUGCUUUAUCGAUCUACUCCUCUCCCUCAAGCCUUUCAAGUCCCUUCAGCUUGUCUUGGAAGCAGCUGGUACAGAUGCUGUGACCCUUACUUAGCAUAAAAUGCUUAUGAAGCAGAAGGUGGUGCGAGGUCUGGGACUGCUGCAAGACAUGGUCAUACAGUGAUUUACUUGUUCCUUUGUGUACAAUAGUACAAUAUUUUUGCUGUUCCCUGGGGAGAGGGAGGCAACUCUUAAUUCACCAGCCCUGUUCUUCUCCUGCCCUCUAUGGACCUUCAGAGUUCCUUAGCAGUAUGUGCACUCAGU